CCUCAACUUGAAAUUUCUUGAAUACUGCAUGUGUGUAGACCCCUGAAACACUCUUUUCCAAAGGCGAUGGAGAUUUUAAUGUAGGUUGUUUAUUCCAUGUAUCAGAAUCUGCUUUUGCUUCCUCUUCAUACCUGUCUUGUAGAAUUGCUUCAUACUGUUUCACAAACUCUUGCACAGUGGUUUUCUUAUGCACAUACUUAUCAAAGUAGGAGUUUAGACUCUCAGACCGCAGAACGGUUGACAUGCCAGCCAAAAUAGCAUCCCUCAUGUAGAUUGGCACCCACAGCUCUCGAUCUUCAAACAAUGAUUGCAUUACAUCAUUCUCUCUAAGCUCAAAUCUAUCAAGAAUUUUCAACCAUCUUUUUACAAACUCAUCAUUUGUCCAUGACCUGAAGAUGCAUUUUUCAAAUUUUGCCAUAAAAUUUUCAUGCCGUUUAAUUACUUGACUCAGAUUUUCAGACACCUUCCCCAACAUGUUCCACAAAAAGAAAUAAUGAUGAGCAUUUGGAAAGACCUCAGAAAUGACCGAUUUCAAGGCUUUAUCUUGGUCAGUUAUUAUAACUUUGGGGGCUUGCCCACCCAUUGCUCUCAGCCAAGUCCGCAUUAACCAAGAAUAGGUUGUUGCACUUUCUUCUGAUAGCAGAGCACAUCCAAGUAACAUGAAUUGACAGUGUUGGUUCACUCCAACAAAAAGAGUAAGAGGCAUCUUAUAUUUGUUCCUAACAUAGGUAGCAUCAAAAGAGACAACAUCACAGAAAUUAACAUAGUCAUGCCUACUUUUGGCAUCAACCCAAAACAAAUUCUUCAGAAGUAGAUCCUCACCCAGUUCAAUGGCAUAAAAGAAGUUGGAAUUCAAACUCUGCAUCUGUGUAAAAAAAUCAAGUAAAAUUUUGGCAUCUGCAGCUUCUAGCGCCAAAUUCCGACCCUUAUCAAAUGGAUUUUUGGGGUCAUUCUUCAAACCAAUAACAUUUUUAUAUUCAGCAAAUUGUCUAGCCAUUGCAGCAUACAUCUUUCUGGUUUGUUCACUCACAGCUUGGGCAGGUAAAAGCUCAUGGUUGUGCUCCUUAACAAAACUAUGGAUAACCCAUUUUCCAUCUGGUCUUCUCUUAACAUGCAUGCUUGCUUUGCAGUCUGUCUUUGAACAUGAUCGCCGGCCAGUACCAUUUUCAGGGUCUUGCUUGUUUUGUCUGGCACGUGGUCGAUUAAAGGACUUGUCAUACUCUCGCUUGGUACCAUACCUAGAACAAGCAAACUUUGCAUCAAUGAAUUCCCUUGAUGUUUUUGAACGGCGGCUGUUUUGUAUUGCUGUGUUAAAUCCCAUAGACCGAGCAUAUUCUUGAUAAAAAGAAUAUGCUGCCCCAUGUGAUUCAAAUUCCAUACCAGAAAGUGGCUCAAGAUUAGCUUCUUCUUUGAAUUCUGCUGUUGGAGAACUCAUGGCCCCACCUUCUAUGGCAUGUACCUCUUCUGCAACAUUGACAAUAUUUCCAGUUACUACAUCUCCAUUAUGUAGCUUGUCUUCACUCAACAUAUUGUCAAUUCCAUUUGGUUCUUCGUUGUCUUUGUCAUGCUCACCAGAAGGCAACCUAAGAUCAAUGUCCAUGACAAUAAUUUUUACCUUUUGACAAACACCACUAUCAAGCACCUUAGCUACAGAUUAGCCACUAAAAUUGUCGCCGGAAAUUGGAAGCAGGUGUCGUUUUGGGAUGAGAAAAUUGUUGCAGCUUGCCGUAGAAGAGAAAAAAUUGUUGCUGGAUAUGAGAAAAUUUUGUCCUGUUGGGGAGGGUUGAGAAACGAGGGUCGCGGGGAGGGGGGGCGUGAGACAGACAAG
Molecule: unclassified non-coding RNA, 1828 nt
Filed under: Hevea brasiliensis (rubber tree)
Lineage: Eukaryota; Viridiplantae; Streptophyta; Magnoliopsida; Malpighiales; Euphorbiaceae
Source: RNAcentral